This 374-nucleotide ribosomal RNA is filed under the name uncultured bacterium. RNAcentral's name for it is "bacterial SSU rRNA". It matches the Rfam family "Bacterial small subunit ribosomal RNA", at positions 524 to 898 of the family's 1533-position model. The record is from RNAcentral.
UACGAAGGGGGCUAGCGUUGCUCGGAAUCACUGGGCGUAAAGGGCGCGUAGGUGGCGAAUCAAGUCAGAGGUGAAAUCCUGAAGCUCAACUUCAGAACUGCCUUUGAUACUGAUUUGCUAGAGUUCGAGAGAGGUAAGUGGAAUUCCGAGUGUAGAGGUGAAAUUCGUAGAUAUUCGGAAGAACACCAGUGGCGAAGGCGGCUUACUGGCUCGAUACUGACACUGAGGCGCGAAAGCGUGGGGAGCAAACAGGAUUAGAUACCCUGGUAGUCCACGCUGUAAACGAUGGAUGCUAGCCGUUGGUCAGUUUACUGAUCCGUGGCGCAGCUAACGCAUUAAGCAUCCCGCCUGGGGAGUACGGUCGCAAGACUAAA